GAAAUCGGAGCUAAUACCGGAUAGGACCUUGCCCCGCAUGGGGGUUGGUGGAAAGUUUUUUCGGUCUGGGAUGGACUCGCGGCCUAUCAGCUUGUUGGUGAGGUAAUGGCUCACCAAGGCGUCGACGGGUAGCCGGCCUGAGAGGGUGACCGGCCACACUGGGACUGAGACACGGCCCAGACUCCUACGGGAGGCAGCAGUGGGGAAUAUUGCACAAUGGGCGCAAGCCUGAUGCAGCAACGCCGCGUGCGGGAUGACGGCCUUCGGGUUGUAAACCGCUUUUAGUAGGGAAGAAGCCUUUCGGGGUGACGGUACCUGCAGAAAAAGGACCGGCUAACUACGUGCCAGCAGCCGCGGUAAUACGUAGGGUCCGAGCGUUGUCCGGAAUUAUUGGGCGUAAAGAGCUCGUAGGCGGUUUGUCGCGUCUGCUGUGAAAUCCCGGGGCUCAACUCCGGGCCUGCAGUGGGUACGGGCAGACUUGAGUGGUGUAGGGGAGACUGGAAUUCCUGGUGUAGCGGUGGAAUGCGCAGAUAUCAGGAGGAACACCGAUGGCGAAGGCAGGUCUCUGGGCACUUACUGACGCUGAGGAGCGAAAGCGUG
This 600-nucleotide ribosomal RNA is filed under the name Agromyces flavus. RNAcentral's name for it is "bacterial SSU rRNA". It matches the Rfam family "Bacterial small subunit ribosomal RNA", at positions 153 to 763 of the family's 1533-position model. The record is from RNAcentral. Lineage: Bacteria; Bacillati; Actinomycetota; Actinomycetes; Micrococcales; Microbacteriaceae.